Molecule: ribosomal RNA, 835 nt
Rfam family: Bacterial small subunit ribosomal RNA
GAGAAGAGAAGUACCUGGUGCAGCGGGCGGAAUGCGCAGAUAUCGAUGAGGAACAAACGAUGGCGAAGACAGGUGUCUGGGUCGUCAACUAGACGAUGAGGAGCGAAAGCAUGCGGAGCGAACGAGGAUGAGAUAGACCUGGUAGUACACCACGUAAAUAAUUGGGCACUAGGUGUGGGGAGGGUGUACGGUCUCCGCGCCGCAGCUAACGCAUUAAGUGCACCGCGUGGGGGGACGGCCGCAAGGGAAAACUCAAAGGAAUUGACGGGGGGCCGCACAAGCGGCGGAGCAUGCGGAUUAAUUUGAUGCAACAACGAAGAACCUUACCAAGGCUUGACAUGUUCUUGAUCCAAUGUAGAGAUAUAGGUUUCCCCCUUUGGGCGGGUUCACAGGUGGUGCAUGGUGGUCGUCAGCUCGUGUCGUGAGAUGAUGGGUUAAGUACCGCAACGAGCGCAACCCUCCUUCCAUGUAGCCAGCAGCUCGUGGUGGGGAAUCAUGGGAGAACGCCGGGGUCAAAUCGGAGGAAGGGGAGGGAGGAGUCAAAUUCUCCUGCCCCUUUUUUACUUGGGUUCCCCCCUGGUUCCAAGGCCGGGACAAAAGGGCAGGGUAACCUGAGGUGGAGGUAAUUCCAAAAAAUCGGUUUCAGUUUGGAUUGGGGUUUGCAACUUGACCCCAUGAAAUCGGAGUUGGUUGUAAUUGCAGAUCAACAACGCUGCGGUGAAUACGUUCCCGGGCCUUGUACACACCGCCCGUCAAGUCACGAAGAGUUGGUAACACCCGAAGUCGGUGGCGGUAACCUCUUGUGGAGCGCAGCCGUCCUAUAGAUGAGCCUUCC